AAAAUGUAGACAACUAGAAAGAUCUACCUGCUCAAGUUCAGUAAUGUUAUUAUAAGAUACAAAAUCAGGAUAUUGUAAUUUAUAGAAUAAUAAUUGUGUGUUACUAAUAGGAAUUCCUAAUACCGACAUUGAAAAUAGUGUUUUUUCAAUACCAGAAAUUGGUAUUAAAGAAGAACUUAUACAUAUAUCAUUGUUACAUCCCAACCAUUUGUUAACCCAUAAAUCUGUAUGAUUUUUAGCGAACGCAAACUCCUCAGG
Molecule: non-coding RNA, 258 nt
Organism: Pelobates cultripes (western spadefoot toad)
Lineage: Eukaryota; Metazoa; Chordata; Amphibia; Anura; Pelobatidae
Source: the annotation of a GenBank genome assembly